AGGAGCCGUAUGAGGGGAAACUCUCAUGUGCGGUUUUGAAUCAGAGGUUAGCGAGGCGACUGGCUAAUCGACUGUAAC
Molecule: non-coding RNA, 78 nt
Filed under: Oxynema acuminatum PCC 6304
Lineage: Bacteria; Bacillati; Cyanobacteriota; Cyanophyceae; Oscillatoriales; Oscillatoriaceae
Source: RNAcentral